Molecule: ribosomal RNA, 253 nt
Filed under: uncultured bacterium
Lineage: Bacteria
Description: partial 16S ribosomal RNA
Rfam family: Bacterial small subunit ribosomal RNA
Source: RNAcentral
UAUGGAGGGGGCUAGCGUUGUUCGGAAUUACUGGGCGUAAAGCGUGCGCAGGCGGUUCGCCAAGUCAGGUGUGAAAUCCCCGGGCUUAACCUGGGAAUUGCGCUUGAAACUAGCGGGCUUGAGUGUGGCAGAGGGGGGUGGAAUUCCACGUGUAGCAGUGAAAUGCGUAGAGAUGUGGAGGAACACCGAUGGCGAAGGCAGCCCCCUGGGUCAACACUGACGCUCAUGCACGAAAGCGUGGGGAGCAAACAGG